AUUGAACGCUGGCGGCAUGCCUUACACAUGCAAGUCGAACGGUAACAGGUCUUCGGAUGCUGACGAGUGGCGAACGGGUGAGUAAUACAUCGGAACGUGCCCGAUCGUGGGGGAUAACGAAGCGAAAGCUUUGCUAAUACCGCAUAAGAUCUACGGAUGAAAGCAGGGGACCGCAAGGCCUUGCGCGAACGGAGCGGCCGAUGGCAGAUUAGGUAGUUGGUGGGAUAAAAGCUUACCAAGCCGACGAUCUGUAGCUGGUCUGAGAGGACGACCAGCCACACGGGGACUGAACCAGGCCCAAACACCCUGGGGGAGAGAGCGGGGGGAUAUUUGGGAAAGGGGGCGAAGUCUUAUCCAACCCGGCCGGGGGGCAGAAUAACGCCUUUGGGUUUUAAACCUCUUUUUUAACGAAAGAAAAAGCCUUGGUUAAAUCCCGGGGGUCAAGGACGUAACCAAAAAAAAAAGCCCGGCCUAACUAGGCC
This 482-nucleotide ribosomal RNA is filed under the name uncultured bacterium. RNAcentral describes it as "partial 16S ribosomal RNA". It matches the Rfam family "Bacterial small subunit ribosomal RNA", at positions 29 to 507 of the family's 1533-position model. The record is from RNAcentral.